GCGCCAAGUCAUGAAGACCGCCUCGACUGGUCUCGAUCUUAGAUGUUUUGGAAUGUCACUCGGGCACUUCCGACACUCCCUAAAGCUCUGGACAUGAAAGCAGAAGCACCAGCCAGCAGAUAUGGAACAGGUUUCUCUGCGUUGGUGGAUUUCCUACAGAAGAAAAGUGUCUGAAAAAGUAGUCAACAAACAGAGUGUUCCACCAGGAUUUCGCAAUUUUAUUUAGAUGAGUGGGUUUAUACAAUAGUAAAAUUUUACCUUUCUGAGCUUUAUGCAAACAUUUCUUAGUUGCUUAAAGGUCUGCCAGUCUGAAUUAAAUGCUGUUUUCUUAG
Molecule: long non-coding RNA, 332 nt
Organism: Esox lucius (northern pike)
Lineage: Eukaryota; Metazoa; Chordata; Actinopteri; Esociformes; Esocidae
Exons: 2
Source: RefSeq, a predicted model, not a curated record